Molecule: ribosomal RNA, 301 nt
Filed under: uncultured bacterium
Lineage: Bacteria
Description: partial 16S ribosomal RNA
Rfam family: Bacterial small subunit ribosomal RNA
Source: RNAcentral
CAGCCGCCGCGGGAAUACGGAGGGUGCAAGCGUUACUCGGAAUUAUUGGGCGUAAAGGGAGCGCAGGCGGACAUAUAAGUCCAUCUUAAAAGUGCGGGGCUCAACCCCGUGAGGGGAUGGAAACUGUAUGCCUUGAGUGCAGGAGAGGAAAGCGGAAUUCCCAGUGUAGCGGUGAAAUGCGUAGAUAUUGGGAGGAACACCAGUGGCGAAGGCGGCUUUCUGGACUGCAACUGACGCUGAGGCUCGAAAGCGUGGGUAGCGAACAGGAUUAGAUACCCGAGUAGUCCCUGUCUCUUAUACA